RNAcentral lists this long non-coding RNA (372 nucleotides) under Camponotus floridanus (Florida carpenter ant). RNAcentral describes it as "uncharacterized LOC112639105, transcript variant X2". The record is from RNAcentral. Lineage: Eukaryota; Metazoa; Arthropoda; Insecta; Hymenoptera; Formicidae.
GCCCCAAUUAUAGUGAGCAGACGAUAGUUGGUAGAAGAAUCUCAUAAAUCUCUCCUGCUGCCUGCGUGCUCCUGCUGCUGUUCCUCUUGAUCUUCGAACUAAAGAUAAGCGAGAUCGGGAUUAUCGAGAUCAGCCACAAUAAUAUUAGCGGCAGCAUUGUCAGAGUCAGCGAUGGGAGCAGCAGCAGAUUUUACGCCGGAAUUAAUGCUGGCGUUGGUACCAGCAGCAACAGGUUUGGCGAUAGAAUCAACAGCGACGGGUUUGGUAACAGAACCAACGACGACGGGUUUGGCGGUAGAAUUCGUACUCUACGUUCAGCAGCAAUGGGUUUGACGACGGAGGCAGCUACGGCAGAAUUAGACGUACGUCUAA